This 421-nucleotide ribosomal RNA is filed under the name uncultured bacterium. RNAcentral describes it as "bacterial SSU rRNA". It matches the Rfam family "Bacterial small subunit ribosomal RNA", at positions 360 to 773 of the family's 1533-position model. The record is from RNAcentral.
AAUAUUGCGCAAUGGGCGAAAGCCUGACGCAGCGACGCCGCGUGGAGGACGAAGGUCUUCGGAUUGUAAACUCCUGUUAAGCGGGAAGAAACCCCAAUCUCUAAUAUAGAUUGGGUAUGACGGUACCUGCAGAAAAAGCACCGGCUAACUACGUGCCAGCAGCCGCGGUAAUACGUAGGGUGCAAGCGUUAUCCGGAAUUAUUGGGCGUAAAGGGCUCGUAGGCGGUUUGUCGCGUCUGCUGUGAAAACCCGAGGCUCAACCUCGGGCCUGCAGUGGGUACGGGCAGACUAGAGUGCGGUAGGGGAGAUUGGAAUUCCUGGUGUAGCGGUGGAAUGCGCAGAUAUCAGGAGGAACACCGAUGGCGAAGGCAGAUCUCUGGGCCGUAACUGACGCUGAGGAGCGAAAGCGUGGGGAGCGAAC